UCAGCCAUAGUGUGCUNUGGAAACUGUCUGACUUGAGUGCAGAAGGGGAGAGUGGAAUUCCAUGUGUAGCGGUGAAAUGCGUAGAUAUAUGGAGGANCACCAGUGGCGAAAGCGGCUCUCUGGUCUGUCACUGACGCUGAGGCUCGAAAGCGUGGGUAGCGAACAGGAUUAGAUACCCUGGUAGUCCACGCCGUAAACGAUGAGUGCUAGGUGUUAGGCCCUUUCCGGGGCUUAGUGCCGGAGCUAACGCAAUAAGCACUCCGCCUGGGGAGUACGACCGCAAGGUUGAAACUCAAAGGAAUUGACGGGGGCCCGCACAAGCGGUGGAGCAUGUGGUUUAAUUCGAAGCAACGCGAAGAACCUUACCAGGUCUUGACAUCCCGAUGCUAUUCUUAGAGAUAGGAAGUUACUUCGGUACAUCGGAGACAGGUGGUGCAUGGUUGUCGUCAGCUCGUGUCGUGAGAUGUUGGGUUAAGUCCCGCAACGAGCGCAACCCUUAUUGUUAGUUGCCAUCAUUAAGUUGGGCACUCUAGCGAGACUGCCGGUAAUAAACCGGAGGAAGGUGGGGAUGACGUCAAAUCAUCAUGCCCCUUAUGACCUGGGCUACACACGUGCUACAAUGGUCGGUACAACGAGUUGCGAGCCGGUGACGGCAAGCUAAUCUCUGAAAGCCGAUCUCAGUUCGGAUUGGAGGCUGCAACUCGCCUCCAUGAAGUCGGAAUCGCUAGUAAUCGCGGAUCAGCACGCCGCGGUGAAUACGUUCCCGGGCCUUGUACACACCGCCCGUCACACCACGAGAGUUUGUAACACCCGAAGUCGGUGAGGUAACCUUUU
RNAcentral lists this ribosomal RNA (834 nucleotides) under uncultured bacterium. RNAcentral describes it as "bacterial SSU rRNA". It matches the Rfam family "Bacterial small subunit ribosomal RNA", at positions 609 to 1444 of the family's 1533-position model. The record is from RNAcentral.